UCUCCGUUGGUGAACCAGCGGAGGGAUCAUUACUGAGUGAGGGCCUUCGGGCUCGACCUCCAACCCUUUGUGAACACAACUUGUUGCUUCGGGGGCGACCCUGCCGUCCGCGGCUGAGCGCCCCCGGAGCCCAUCAAACCCUGCGUAACUAAGUCGUCGGAGUUUAAACAAAUUAAACAAAACUUUCAACAACGGAUCUCUUGGUUCGGGCAUCGAUGAAGAACGCAGC
RNAcentral lists this unclassified non-coding RNA (229 nucleotides) under uncultured fungus. Its description in RNAcentral is "sequence contains ITS1, 5.8S rRNA gene". The stretch from base 181 to 229 matches the Rfam family "5.8S ribosomal RNA", at positions 1 to 49 of the family's 154-position model. Lineage: Eukaryota; Fungi. The record is from RNAcentral.